GUCUGUGGCCAUGCCACCCUGAACACACCUGAUCCUGUCUGAUCUUGAAAGCUAAGCAGAGUUGGGCUGGGUUAGUACUUGCAUGGGAGACCGCCUAGGAAGACCGGGUGUUGUAGGCG
This 119-nucleotide ribosomal RNA is filed under the name Pteropus alecto (black flying fox). The record is from RNAcentral. Lineage: Eukaryota; Metazoa; Chordata; Mammalia; Chiroptera; Pteropodidae.